UCGGAGGAAGUGGGGAUGACGUCAAAUCAUCAUGCCCCUUAUGACCUGGGCUACACACGUGCUACAAUGGGCGGUACAAAGGGCUGCGAACCCGCGAGGGGGAGCGAAUCCCAAAAAGACCGCUCUCAGUUCGGAUUGCAGGCUGCAACUCGCCUGCAUGAAGCCGGAAUCGCUAGUAAUCGCGGAUCAGCAUGCCGCGGUGAAUACCGGUUCCCGGGCCUU
This 222-nucleotide ribosomal RNA is filed under the name uncultured Geobacillus sp. RNAcentral's name for it is "partial 16S ribosomal RNA". It matches the Rfam family "Bacterial small subunit ribosomal RNA", at positions 1163 to 1382 of the family's 1533-position model. Lineage: Bacteria; Bacillati; Bacillota; Bacilli; Caryophanales; Anoxybacillaceae. The record is from RNAcentral.